Malus domestica (apple) is the source of this 1678-nucleotide non-coding RNA. The record is from RefSeq and is a predicted model, not a curated record. Lineage: Eukaryota; Viridiplantae; Streptophyta; Magnoliopsida; Rosales; Rosaceae.
AUUUCCAAUUUCAGUUACCAGAAAUUAUUCGCACACUAAAUCCGAUUGCUUGGCAUCUAAGUUAACAGUGCACACUCCCUCUCUCUCUAACUCCCCAAAUUUAGAAACCCACCUCUCUAUUCCCCCUAAUUUUCGUUUUCCCACCCCCAAAAAAACCCUAAUUUCCCUUCCGGAUCGGCCCCAAUUUGCCAGUGUUUGGCAAUUCCGCUCCUUGAUCCCCAAGGUUAUUUGUUGUCUGUGCGGAAUGAAGAUCGAGGAGUUGGAGGCGGAGGGGGAUUGCGGCGUUCGGAACGACGCCGUUUCCGGGCGGCAGGUAGUUAGGGUUGACGAAGCCAAGAGAGCGCUUGUUGGAGCCGGUGCGCGGAUCCUUUUUUACCCGACCCUGUUGUAUAAUGUGCUUCGGAACAAGAUGGAGGCUGAGUUCAGAUGGUGGGACGAAGUUGACCAGUUUGUUCUGCUUGGUGCGGUUCCAUUUCCCAAAGAUGUUCCCCAGUUGAAGCGGCUGGGUGUUGGUGGUGUGAUCACUCUCAAUGAACCUUACGAAACUUUGGUUCCAACAUCCUUGUAUCGUGCCCAUGGAAUUGACCAUCUAGUAAUCCCCACGCGAGAUUAUCUUUUUGCCCCUUCAUUUGUUGAUAUCAACAGAGCUGUAGAAUUCAUUCACAAGAAUGCAUCGUGUGGUGAAACUACUUACGUGCACUGUAAAGCUGGUCGGGGAAGGAGCACAACUAUCGUGCUUUGCUAUUUGGUGAAAUACAAGAACAUGAUACCAUCUGCAGCCCUGGACUAUGUUCGGUCUAGAAGACCUCGUGUGCUGCUAGCCCCCUCACAAUGGAAGGCUGUUCAAGAAUACAGCAGAUGCGGACCAACUACCACAGCAUGUUCUCCCUCAGGAGAUGCAGUUUUAAUUACCAAAGCUGAUCUUGAAGGGUACCAUGGAACUUACGACGACACUGCUCGUAAGCAGUUGGCAAUUGUUUCUAAAAUGGUGAAAGCCAGCCCCAUGAUAGCUAGGUUAUCGUUCCUUUUUGCAUCCUUGAAAGUCACCGGAAAUUGUGGACCAGUCACGAGGCAGUUGCCUGUGCCGGAACCACGUGCUUGCUGAGCUCUCGCACACAUCAUGCAAGUGUCAAGCGUUGUUUGCUUGUAGAGAAGAGCAUGAAUAAAUAGAAGUUUUAUGAAGCGCCGGUGUUUCAGGCUGCAUCAUGUUUACGAGAGGGAGAAAGGUCUUUGGGAGGGUGAGGUGCCAUAAACUAUGGUAUGGAGACAAACUUUUGUCCGACCGGCUGUAUAUGGAGAAUGACUUACAUACGGAGAAUGAUUUACACAAAACAGGUUCAUUAUUACUAUGGCGUUCCGUUCAAAAAUAAAACAAUCACUUGUAUGUGGGACCAAAUACAGGGGGCGUGUUAGUAAGGCUGCAUGCCACGUGGUCUUUGAGGAAGCUAGAAUUUGCCAUAGAUGGGUUACAAAAGUUAUCUUCUACUUGGUCAUAAGAAGUGUCAUACGGAUGAUAUGGUCCUGCAUUCAACCUAAGAUUUUCCUCUAUUUGAAUGCAAUGGCCAACUAUUGUAGUUGUAGAGUUGGACCAUGUUGGUCUUUUUACACAGAAUGAGUGGCUUGUCUGUCCGGCUACAUUUUAUUAAUAGAUUGUUUGGGUUAAUUUGUAGUGAUUUAU